AACGAACGCUGGCGGCAGGCCUAACACAUGCAAGUCGAGCGGGCACUUCGGGGUGAGCGGCGGACGGGGGAGUAAGGCGGGGGAACGUGCCCUUUUCUACGGAAUAGCCUCGGGUAACUGAGCGUAAUACCGGAUACGCCCUUAGGGGGUAAGAUUUAUCGGGAUAGGAUCGGCCCGCAUUGGAUUAGGUGGUUGGUGGGGUAAUGGCCUACCAAGCCGACGAUCCAUAGCUGGUUUGAGAGGAUGAUCCGCCACACUGGGACUGAGACACGGCCCAGACUCCUACGGGAGGCAGCAGUGGGGAAUCUUAGACAAUGGGGGCAACCCUGAUCUCGCCAUGCCGGGUAAGUGAUGAAGGCCUUAGGGUUGUAAAGCUCUUUCAGCUGGGAAGAUAAUGACGGUACCAGCAGAAGAAGCCCCGGCUAACUCCGUG
RNAcentral lists this ribosomal RNA (433 nucleotides) under uncultured bacterium. RNAcentral describes it as "partial 16S ribosomal RNA". It matches the Rfam family "Bacterial small subunit ribosomal RNA", at positions 29 to 507 of the family's 1533-position model. The record is from RNAcentral.